UGUUGUCCUUUUGGCACAUCGUUAAAAUUAGAACAAUACAGAAAAGAUUAGCAUAACCUUUGCGUAAAAAUGAUAUGCACAAAUCGAAAAAUAGUCCAAAUUUUU
Molecule: small nuclear RNA, 105 nt
Organism: Raphanus sativus (radish)
Lineage: Eukaryota; Viridiplantae; Streptophyta; Magnoliopsida; Brassicales; Brassicaceae
Source: RefSeq, a predicted model, not a curated record